This 45-nucleotide ribosomal RNA is filed under the name Hoya cumingiana. RNAcentral's name for it is "partial 28S ribosomal RNA". Lineage: Eukaryota; Viridiplantae; Streptophyta; Magnoliopsida; Gentianales; Apocynaceae. The record is from RNAcentral. RNAcentral also lists the same sequence under 16 other names.
CAGGUCAGGCGGGGCUACCCGCUGAGUUUAAGCAUAUCAAUAAGC